This 253-nucleotide ribosomal RNA is filed under the name uncultured bacterium. RNAcentral describes it as "partial 16S ribosomal RNA". It matches the Rfam family "Bacterial small subunit ribosomal RNA", at positions 524 to 776 of the family's 1533-position model. The record is from RNAcentral.
UACGAAGGGGGCGAGCGUUGUUCGGAAUCACUGGGCGUAAAGGGCGCGUAGGCGGCACCUCUUGUCGCGUGUGAAAGCCCGGAGCUCAACUCCGGAAUUGCCAUUGAAACUGUUUAGCUCGAGUACGAGAGAGGUGAGUGGAAUUCCCAGUGUAGAGGUGAAAUUCGUAGAUAUUGGGAAGAACACCGGUGGCGAAGGCGGCUCACUGGCUCGUAACUGACGCUCAUGCACGACAGCGUGGGGAUCAAACAGG